This 71-nucleotide transfer RNA is filed under the name Helianthus annuus (common sunflower). RNAcentral describes it as "tRNA-Ile". The record is from RNAcentral. Lineage: Eukaryota; Viridiplantae; Streptophyta; Magnoliopsida; Asterales; Asteraceae.
CCUAGUAGUAUCUUGGUGGUGGGAUAAGGCUUAUGACCAUUAGGUCAUGGGUUCGAUUCCCAUUAAGAGGG